This is a long non-coding RNA of Sinocyclocheilus anshuiensis, 127 nucleotides long. RefSeq lists it as uncharacterized. Lineage: Eukaryota; Metazoa; Chordata; Actinopteri; Cypriniformes; Cyprinidae. The record is from RefSeq and is a predicted model, not a curated record. The transcript is spliced from 3 exons.
AUAUGGUAGGGCAUUUUUUAGCAAUUAAACACUUUAAUAGCUGCUUUAAGAUUAUAACCAGUUUCUGAAUUUUAGAUGUUUGUAAACGGGACAUAGUUGUUUACUUAUCAACGUUUAUUACAGAAUC